This 1348-nucleotide long non-coding RNA is filed under the name Olea europaea (common olive). RNAcentral describes it as "long non-coding RNA (OEUR_LNC004143)". The record is from RNAcentral. Lineage: Eukaryota; Viridiplantae; Streptophyta; Magnoliopsida; Lamiales; Oleaceae.
AGCUUGAUUAUUGAAGGGCGAGGGAGCAAACUAUAGAAAACCUUUCUGGAAAAAAUGCAAAUUCGGCUCAGCAAACCAGCUAGUGAAGGUGUUGCAGGUACAAAGUCCUUGCCUGAAGAAACUGUGACUGUUGCAUGUCCCGAUCACCUUGUCCUAGCUGAUCUUCCUGUAGCUAAGAGCCUUGGUUCAGCUAGUGAGACUGCUCUUCUCAAGAAUGUUGGUCGCAGAUCCCGUCGUCAGCUUGGUGACAGGGUUCAUUUUUGUGUCCGUUGCGACUUUCCUAUUGCUAUUUAUGGGCGUCUGGUAUGUAUGACUUUCCUGUGCACAUUGUUUUUCCUCUGUAUCGUAGUCCAUUUAAUAAGUUCAACUGACAGAAGAGGUUGUUAAUAUAAAAAGUUUGUUCUUAAAGAAGAUGGUUGAAUUUCUGUUUCCACCGCUGCCAGCAGAUGCACUGCACCUAUAUACAUGGGGGAACUCACAUUUAUGCGUGCAUGCACACAACUGAUUUAUGAAUUGAAUGAAGAAAGAAGUGGGAGAUUUGUAUACUUCUUUCUGUUUCACAUCUCUUCGAUCACUUUCUAACACCUACACAUUUGCAUGUGUAACUGCUGAAGGUUCCUCGGAUUUGUUUCCAGACAUUUUUGGGGAAAAUUUUUCUUUGUCCAGUAUGAAUCAUUCCCUCUUGGGAUUCCAGUAUUGGAAUUUUUUUUUUUUUUUUUUUUUUUUUUUUUUUUUUUUUUUUUUUUUUUUCAAAAACCAUAAAUUUUUUUUUUUUUGCAUGUCCCGAUCACCUUGUCCUAGCUGAUCUUCCUGUAGCUAAGAGCCUUGGUUCAGCUAGUGAGACUGCUCUUCUCAAGAAUGUUGGUCGCAGAUCCCGUCGUCAGCUUGGUGACAGGGUUCAUUUUUGUGUCCGUUGCGACUUUCCUAUUGCUAUUUAUGGGCGUCUGGUAUGUAUGACUUUCCUGUGCACAUUGUUUUUCCUCUGUAUCGUAGUCCAUUUAAUAAGUUCAACUGACAGAAGAGGUUGUUAAUAUAAAAAGUUUGUUCUUAAAGAAGAUGGUUGAAUUUCUGUUUCCACCGCUGCCAGCAGAUGCACUGCACCUAUAUACAUGGGGGAACUCACAUUUAUGCGUGCAUGCACACAACUGAUUUAUGAAUUGAAUGAAGAAAGAAGUGGGAGAUUUGUAUACUUCUUUCUGUUUCACAUCUCUUCGAUCACUUUCUAACACCUACACAUUUGCAUGUGUAACUGCUGAAGGUUCCUCGGAUUUGUUUCCAGACAUUUUUGGGGAAAAUUUUUCUUUGUCCAGUAUGAAUCAUUCCCUCUUGGGAUUCCAGUAUUGGAAUU